This 73-nucleotide transfer RNA is filed under the name Thermoplasmata archaeon. Its description in RNAcentral is "tRNA-Gly". It matches the Rfam family "tRNA". Rfam says of the family: Transfer RNA (tRNA) molecules are approximately 80 nucleotides in length. Their secondary structure includes four short double-helical elements and three loops (D, anti-codon, and T loops). The record is from RNAcentral. Lineage: Archaea; Methanobacteriati; Thermoplasmatota; Thermoplasmata.
GCAGGUGUAGUCUAGCCUGGUAGGACUUUGGCCUUCCAAGCCAACAACCCGGGUUCAAAUCCCGGCACCUGCA